GUAGGUGAACCUGCGGAAGGAUCAUUAUACACGAUUCAAAUCGUAUAAACCUUUCGAGCACUCGUUUCGUUUUUAUAAGUAAGCCAGUAAGCUGCAGAGGUCGAGAGUUGAGACAGUGUAGCACGCUUUCGGGUGUGCUUGCUCUCUUCCCCGCCUUGCCUCUUCGGAGCGCGAGGGAGCUUCGGUUUACUACACUGUUGCGUCUCGCCGCAAGGCAGGCGCUGUUUUUACUCUAUUUACCCUUUGUAUC
RNAcentral lists this unclassified non-coding RNA (250 nucleotides) under plant metagenome. Its description in RNAcentral is "partial contains small subunit ribosomal RNA, internal transcribed spacer 1, and 5.8S ribosomal RNA". The record is from RNAcentral.